GAUGAACGCUGGCGGCGCGCCUAACACAUGCAAGUCGAACGGUUAAAGCAUCUUCGGAUGUGCAUAAAGUGGCGAACGGCUGAGUAACACGUGGGCAACCCGCCCCUCGCAUCGGGACAGCCUCGGGAAACCGUGGUUAAUACCGGAUACUCCGCCACCCCCGCAUGGGGGAGGCGGGAAAGCCCAGACGGCGAGGGAUGGGCCCGCGGCCUGUUAGCUUGUUGGUGGGGCAGUGGCCCACCAAGGCGAUGAUGGGUAGCCGGGUUGAGAGACCGACCGGCCAGAUUGGGACUGAGACACGGCCCAGACUCCUACGGGAGGCAGCAGUGGGGAAUCUUGCACAAUGGGCGAAAGCCUGAUGCAGCGACGCCGCGUGCGGGACGAAGGCCUUCGGGUCGUAAACCGCUUUCAGCAGGGACGAGGCCGCAAGGUGACGGUACCUGCAGAAGAAGCCCCGGCUAACUACGUGCCAGCAGCCGCGGUAAUACGUAGGGGGCGAGCGUUAUCCGGAUUCAUUGGGCGUAAAGCGCGCGUAGGCGGCCUGCUAGGUCGGGAGUCAAAUCCGGGGGCUCAACCCCCGUCCGCUCCCGAUACCGGCUGGCUUGAGUCUGGUAGGGGAAGGUGGAAUUCCCAGUGUAGCGGUGGAAUGCGCAGAUAUUGGGAAGAACACCGGUGGCGAAGGCGGCCUUCUGGGCCACGACUGACGCUGAGGCGCGAAAGCUAGGGGAGCGAACAGGAUUAUAUACCCCUGGUAGUCCAAGGGCGAAUUCCACAGUGGGAUAUCAAGCUAUCGAUAUCGUCCACCUCGAGGGGGCGCCCGGUCCCAGCUUUGUCCCUUUAUGAGGGUUAUAUUAACG
This 857-nucleotide ribosomal RNA is filed under the name uncultured Coriobacteriaceae bacterium. Its description in RNAcentral is "bacterial SSU rRNA". It matches the Rfam family "Bacterial small subunit ribosomal RNA". The record is from RNAcentral. Lineage: Bacteria; Bacillati; Actinomycetota; Coriobacteriia; Coriobacteriales; Coriobacteriaceae.